UACGGGGGGAGCAAGCGUUGUUCGGAUUUACUGGGCGUAAAGGGCGCGUAGGCGGUCAGCACAAGUCAGUUGUGAAAUCUCCGGGCUUAACUCGGAAAGGUCAACUGAUACUGUGCGACUAGAGUGCGGAAGGGGCAACUGGAAUUCUCGGUGUAGCGGUGAAAUGCGUAGAUAUCGAGAGGAACACCUGCGGCGAAGGCGGGUUGCUGGGCCGACACUGACGCUGAUGCGCGAAGGCUAGGGGAGCGAACAGG
RNAcentral lists this ribosomal RNA (254 nucleotides) under uncultured bacterium. RNAcentral describes it as "partial 16S ribosomal RNA". It matches the Rfam family "Bacterial small subunit ribosomal RNA", at positions 524 to 776 of the family's 1533-position model. The record is from RNAcentral.